CUAGGAUGAACGCUGGCGGCGUGCCUAACACAUGCAAGUCGAACGGGGUUAAGUGAAAUUUCGGAUGGAGCUUAACUUAGUGGCGGACGGGUGAGUAACGCGUGGAUAACCUGCCUCACACUGGGGGAUAGCAGCUGGAAACGGCUGGUAAUACCGCAUAAGACCACAGCACCGCAUGGUGCAGGGGUAAAAGAUUUAUCGGUGUGAGAUGGAUCCGCGUCUGAUUAGCCAGUUGGCGGGUAACGGCCCACCAAAGCGACGAUCAGUAGCCGGCCUGAGAGGGUGAACGGCCACAUUGGGACUGAGACACGGCCCAAACUCCUACGGGAGGCAGCAGUGGGGAAUAUUGCACAAUGGGCGCAAGCCUGAUGCAGCAACGCCCGCGUGAGUGAAGAAGUAUUUCGGUAUGUAAAGCUCUAUCGGCAGGGAAGAAAGGCCCGAAAGGGAGAUGACGGUACCUGACUAAGAAGCCCCGGCUAACUACGUGCCAGCAGCCGC
Molecule: ribosomal RNA, 498 nt
Filed under: uncultured bacterium
Lineage: Bacteria
Description: bacterial SSU rRNA
Rfam family: Bacterial small subunit ribosomal RNA
Source: RNAcentral